AUCGGAUUGAUACUAAGCCAUGCGAGUCUUUGUAGUAAUACAAGGCAGACGGCUCAGUAACACGUAGUCAAUCUACCCUAUGGACGGGGAUAACCUCGGGAAACUGAGAAUAAUACCCGACAGAUCAUUAUACCUGGAAUGGUUUAUGGUUCAAAUGAUUUUUCGCCGUAGGAUGGGACUGCGGUCUAUCAGCUUGUUGGUGAGGUAAUGGCCCACCAAGGCUAUAACAGAUACGGGCUCUGAGAGGAGAAGCCCGGAGAUGGGUACUGAGACACGGACCCAGGCCCUAUGGGGCGCAGCAGGCGAGAAAACUUUGCAAUGUGCGAAAGCACGACAAGGUUAAUCCGAGUGUUUUCUGCUAAAGAAAUCUUUUGUUAGUUCUAAAACCACUAUCGAAUAAGGGGUGGGCAAGUUCUGGUGUCAGCCGCCGCGGUAAAACCAGCACCUCAAGUGGUCAGGAUGAUUAUUGGGCCUAAAGCAUCCGUAGCCGGCUAUGUUAGUUUUCGGUUAAAUCCAUGUGCUCAACACAUGGGCUGUCGAGAAUACUGCUUAGCUAGGGAGUGGGAGAGGUAGACGGUACUCGGUAGGAAGGGGUAAAAUCCUUUGAUCUAUCGAUGACCACCAGU
This 626-nucleotide ribosomal RNA is filed under the name uncultured archaeon. Its description in RNAcentral is "bacterial SSU rRNA". It matches the Rfam family "Archaeal small subunit ribosomal RNA", at positions 32 to 664 of the family's 1478-position model. The record is from RNAcentral.